This 811-nucleotide long non-coding RNA is filed under the name Lepisosteus oculatus (spotted gar). Its description in RNAcentral is "lncRNA (ENSLOCG00000022544.1)". The record is from RNAcentral. Lineage: Eukaryota; Metazoa; Chordata; Actinopteri; Semionotiformes; Lepisosteidae.
ACUGGCCUGAAGCGAGUCAGAAACACAGGCCUCUGAGCCGAGUAGCCUACACCUUUACCUCGCGUCUCCAACUCACAUUUCGCCCUUUGUUCAGCUCAGAAGUAACACGAUAACUGUACUCUAAACAGCGUGUUGCAGGCAAAACAUAUCUAAAGCCCAGCUAACCAUCAGGUAGGAAGAGCUGGAACAGAACCAAACGUCCUGCUGGCCGUGCUAUUUACAUUUUGUUUACAGAGCAGACCUUUCCGCUAAUCCCAGCCCAAACUCGUGAGGGACAUUAACGAUUGGCGUUGAGAAGCAGCACAACAAACUGGCGAUUGCCCCAAAUGUGGCGACUGUCCAAGACAACAACAUUACCCUGGUGGACUGUUUGGAGGCCCAGGUCCAGAAUCCAGCUCCUUUAUCAGUCGUAAGAUCAACAGCCAAUCCUCUACAAAGCCCUUCCCAGAGAAAUCCCAAGGAAACCAGUUGAACACUGGACACUGUUGAACAUUACCAUACAGGAUUGUGCUUUUCCUACCAUGUAAUAGAAUACAGGCGACUCUCAUAUGUGUUCAUUCUAAUUUAAUCCGAUGCCGGCCAGAGAAGGGUAGGCUCCCCCUUUCAAACCUUGGUUCCUCUCAAGGUUUCUUCCUACUUUAGUCCAGGGAGUUUUUCCUUGCCACUGUUGUCUUGCUUGCUCACUGGGGGUUCAGGCCCGGAAAGUACAGUACCGCCAGAGUCAUUUCAGUUGGAGUACAUUCUCAUUUAGAUGAGAAAUUGUUCUAUUCAAGCCACCUGGUCAGCUGUAAUAAAAUUCCUAACUUUGAAA